GGNANNNNGGGGNGCUGAAAUGCAGUCGAACGGAGAGUGUAGCAAUAUACUUUUAGUGGCGAACGGGUGAGUAACGCGUUGGUGACCUGCCCCGAAGCGAGGGAUAACAGUUCGAAAGAACUGCUAAUACCUCAUGUGAUCACCGGUUUUAGAAUCUGGUGAUUAAAGGUGAAAAUCACUUCGGGAGGGGCCUGCGUCCCAUCAGCUAGUUGGUAAGGUAAUGGCUCACCAAGGCGAUGACGGGUAGGGGACCUGAGAGGGUGGCCCCCCACAAUGGAACUGAAACACGGUCCAUACACCUACGGGUGGCAGCAGUAAGGAAUAUUGCAAAUGGGCGAAAGCCUGAUGUAGCAACGCCGCGUGUGCGAUGAAGGUCUUCGGAUUGUAAAGCACUUUUUGGAGGGAUGAGGAAGGACAGUACCUCCAGAAUAAGCCUCGGCUAACUACGUGCCAGCAGCCGCGGUAACACGUAGGAGGCAAGCGUUAUUCGGAUUUACUGGGCGUAAAGCGCGUGCAGGCGGUUUGGAAAGUUGGAUGUGAAAGCUCCUGGCUCAACUGGGAGAGGUCGUUCAAAACUUUCAGACUUGAGAGUGGUAGAGGGAGGUGGAAUUCCGGGUGUAGUGGUGAAAUGCGUAGAUAUCCGGAGGAACACCAGUGGCGAAAGCGGCCUCCUGGACCACUUCUGACGCUCAGACGCGAAAGCUAGGGUAGCAAACGGGAUUAGAGACCCCGGUAGUCCUAGCUGUAAACGAUGUGAACUUGGCGUUGGUGGGUUUAAAUCCAUCAGUGCCGAAGCUAACGCGAUAAGUUCACCGCCUGGGGACUACGGCCGCAAGGUUAAAACUCAAAGGAAUUGACGGGGCCCCGCACAAGCAGCGGAGCGUGUGGUUUAAUUCGAUGCUACACGAAGAACCUUACCAGGGUUUGACAUGCAAGUGGUAGAGAAGCGAAAGCGGAUCGACCCCUCGGGGAGCUUGCACAGGUGCUGCAUGGCUGUCGUCAGCUCGUGUCGUGAGAUGUUCGGUUAAGUCCGCUAACGAGCGCACCCCUGCCAUAUGUUACAUGUGUCAUAUGGGGACUGCCAGUCUCAANCGGAGNNNNUGGGGAUGACGUCAGUUCAGCAUGNNNUUAUAUCUUGGNUACNNNCNCGCCUACAANGNCGNANNAUAGGUUGCUAAAUC
This 1181-nucleotide ribosomal RNA is filed under the name uncultured Chloroflexota bacterium. RNAcentral's name for it is "uncultured Chloroflexi bacterium partial 16S ribosomal RNA". It matches the Rfam family "Bacterial small subunit ribosomal RNA", at positions 38 to 1256 of the family's 1533-position model. Lineage: Bacteria; Bacillati; Chloroflexota. The record is from RNAcentral.